Transfer RNA from Camelus ferus (Wild Bactrian camel), 72 nucleotides. It matches the Rfam family "tRNA". From Rfam's summary of the family: Transfer RNA (tRNA) molecules are approximately 80 nucleotides in length. Their secondary structure includes four short double-helical elements and three loops (D, anti-codon, and T loops). Lineage: Eukaryota; Metazoa; Chordata; Mammalia; Artiodactyla; Camelidae. The record is from Rfam.
GAGGGUAUAACUCAGUGGUAGAGUGCAUGGUUAGCGUGCACAAGGGCCUGGGUUCAGUCCCCAGUGCCUCCA